GUGAGACUCUUUCUGCAGCAUCAAAUCCAUACUAAUUCGAAGGUUGCAAUUAUACACAGAGAGUGAAAGAAAAUCAUAUUUAUGUGCCAGGCUCAGAUUGGAAAUAAAUGCAGAGAAUACAACUCAGUCAUAAACAAUAAUUAGACAGAAAAGAUUUGUUUUCAUUUUUAUCAUUUAUCCUUUUUUCUUUCCUCCAAGAGAUGAGAGUAGGCUAAGGAUUUAUCAAAACGAUGAACUAUCUAAUAGUAACUUUUGUGGCAAAUUCAAUGUGCCGCCCCAACUCGACAUCAAAGAAACAUAAACACAGCAAGCAAUGGAAAAAAUGUACACCAUGAAAAAUAAAUGUUUGACUAGGGCUGAGCAGAAUUCGGUUCA
This 375-nucleotide unclassified non-coding RNA is filed under the name Hevea brasiliensis (rubber tree). The record is from RNAcentral. Lineage: Eukaryota; Viridiplantae; Streptophyta; Magnoliopsida; Malpighiales; Euphorbiaceae.